UAAUGAGACCGGCGCACGGGUGCGUAACGCGUAUGCAAUCUACCUUUUACAGGGGAAUGGCCCAGAGAAAUUUGGAUUAAUGCCCCAUAAUAUAUGUUUUUCGCAUGUUAGACAUAUUAAAGUUCCAACGGUAAAAGAUGAGCAUGCGUCCCAUUAGUUAGUUGGUAAGGUAACGGCUUACCAAGACGAUGAUGGGUAGGGGUCCUGAGAGGGAGAUCCCCCACACUGGUACUGAGACACGGACCAGACUCCUACGGGAGGCAGCAGUGAGGAAUAUUGGACAAUGGGCGCAAGCCUGAUCCAGCCAUGCCGCGUGCAGGAAGACGGUCCUAUGGAUUGUAAACUGCUUUUGUACGGGAAGAAACACUCCUACGUGUAGGAGCUUGACGGUACCGUAAGAAUAAGGAUCGGCUAACUCCGUGCCAGCAGCCGCGGUAAUACGGAGGAUCCAAGCGUUAUCCGGAAUCAUUGGGUUUAAAGGGUCCGUAGGCGGUUUAGUAAGUCAGUGGUGAAAGCCCAUCGCUCAACGAUGGAACGGCCAUUGAUACUGCUAGACUUGAAUUACAAAGAAGUAACUAGAAUAUGUAGUGUAGCGGUGAAAUGCUUAGAUAUUACAUGGAAUACCAAUUGCGAAGGCAGGUUACUAUUUGUGGAUUGACGCUGAUGGACGAAAGCCUGGGGAGCGAACAGGAUUAGAUACCCUGGUAGUCCACGCCGUAAACGAAUGGAUCUUACUUGUUGGGGGNACUUCAUGGCUUAACCGAAAGUGAUAAGUUUNCCNCCUGGGGAGUCCNUUCCCAAGAAUGAAACUUCAAAGGAAUUGGCNGGGGGGCCCCCCCAAACCGGGGGAGCUUGNGGNUUAANUUCAAUGAUCCCCGAGG
This 881-nucleotide ribosomal RNA is filed under the name uncultured bacterium. RNAcentral's name for it is "bacterial SSU rRNA". It matches the Rfam family "Bacterial small subunit ribosomal RNA", at positions 87 to 966 of the family's 1533-position model. The record is from RNAcentral.